This 682-nucleotide long non-coding RNA is filed under the name Vitis vinifera (wine grape). RNAcentral describes it as "long non-coding RNA (VVIN_LNC002011)". Lineage: Eukaryota; Viridiplantae; Streptophyta; Magnoliopsida; Vitales; Vitaceae. The record is from RNAcentral.
AGGCCAGCUCCUUCGCCUCUUUCUCCAGUCCGUUCACAACGUUGCCUUUCCCUGCAAGAGGUUCUCUCCGGUUGUUUUCAGCGUUGAUGCCAAAGCACACAAUCUCCAAAUUCCAGCUGGUUCCGGCGACGAUGGCAAUGGGGUGGCCUGCCGGGACGACGAAGAGUGUACCACGGCGCAAAGAUGAGCUUACUUUCUGGUAAAUGGGACUGGCCCCCUGUUGCUGCUGCUUCUCUCCAGAGAGGUGAGGACAUACCAUCUCCAAGUACCCUUCUCCUUCGAGCACUGCAGCCACCAUUGUUGACCUUGAGUUAAAGAACGGACCCAUCAUUCCUUCCUGUGGGGAAAAAAAAGUCAGAAUUCCGAAUGAGAUAUUCGAAAAGGAGAUGGGGUUGGGAGGAGAGAGAUAUAUGUACUUGGGUGAUGUUAGCAUAAGAGAUUUCAAUGUCCAUAUCUUUCAGCUGCCUGAAGUCUUCCGCGUCUGCCUCAUGGAGUCGUCCAUAAUUGUUACAAACGGAGGGAUCCUUGUUCAGAAGAUUGAAUACCGGCCGCUUGGAUUCCCCUGAGGUGAAGGGCCAGAUCCCAGCUGCUUCCCCAUGCUGGCCGCCGCUCAAGGCCUGAAUCUGCUCUCCUGAUGCUUUGAUGAAGUGUCCUUUCGUCUGUUGCUGAAACACCCUCUCCA